GAUGAACGCUGGCGGCGUGCUUAACACAUGCAAGUCGAACGGUGAAGGCGGAGCUUGCUCUGCUGGAUCAGUGGCGAACGGGUGAGUAACACGUGAGCAAUCUGCCCCUGACUCUGGGAUAAGCGCUGGAAACGGCGUCUAAUACUGGAUACGAGCUGCGAAGGCAUCUUCAGCAGCUGGAAAGAAUUUCGGUCAGGGAUGAGCUCGCGGCCUAUCAGCUUGUUGGUGAGGUAAUGGCUCACCAAGGCGUCGACGGGUAGCCGGCCUGAGAGGGUGACCGGCCACACUGGGACUGAGACGCGGCCCAGACUCCUACGGGAGGCAGCAGUGGGGAAUAUUGCACAAUGGGCGGAAGCCUGAUGCAGCAACGCCGCGUGGGGGACGACGGCCUUCGGGUUGUAAACCUCUUUUAGCAGGGAAGAAGCGAAAGUGACGGUACCUGCAGAAAAAGCGCCGGCUAACUACGUG
This 468-nucleotide ribosomal RNA is filed under the name uncultured bacterium. RNAcentral describes it as "partial 16S ribosomal RNA". It matches the Rfam family "Bacterial small subunit ribosomal RNA", at positions 28 to 507 of the family's 1533-position model. The record is from RNAcentral.